This 234-nucleotide ribosomal RNA is filed under the name uncultured Lactobacillus sp. Its description in RNAcentral is "partial 16S ribosomal RNA". It matches the Rfam family "Bacterial small subunit ribosomal RNA", at positions 127 to 355 of the family's 1533-position model. Lineage: Bacteria; Bacillati; Bacillota; Bacilli; Lactobacillales; Lactobacillaceae. The record is from RNAcentral.
UGCCCCAUAGUCUGGGAUACCACUUGGAAACAGGUGCUAAUACCGGAUAAGAAAGCGGAUCGCAUGAUCAGCUUUUAAAAGGCGGCGUAAGCUGUCGCUAUGGGAUGGCCCCGCGGUGCAUUAGCUAGUGGUAAGGUAAAGGCUUACCAAGGCGAUGAUGCAUAGCCGAGUUGAGAGACUGAUCGGCCACAUUGGGACUGAGACACGGCCCAAACUCCUACGGGAGGCAGCAGC